Molecule: ribosomal RNA, 403 nt
Filed under: uncultured Eubacteriales bacterium
Lineage: Bacteria; Bacillati; Bacillota; Clostridia; Eubacteriales
Description: bacterial SSU rRNA
Rfam family: Bacterial small subunit ribosomal RNA
Source: RNAcentral
GGGGAAUAUUGCACAAUGGGGGAAACCCUGAUGCAGCAACGCCGCGUGAAGGAUGAAGGUUUUCGGAUUGUAAACUUCUUUAGUCAGGGACGAAUAAAUGACGGUACCUGAAGAAUAAGCCACGGCUAACUACGUGCCAGCAGCCGCGGUAAUACGUAGGUGGCAAGCGUUGUCCGGAAUUACUGGGUGUAAAGGAUGCGUAGGCGGAUAUGUAAGUCAGAUGUGAAACCCCCGGGCUUAACCCGGGGCAUGCAUUUGAGACUGCAUAUCUAGAGUGCAGGAGAGGAAAGCGGAAUUCCUAGUGUAGCGGUGAAAUGCGUAGAUAUUAGGAAGAACACCAGUGGCGAAGGCGGCUUUCUGGACUGUAACUGACGCUGAUGCAUGAAAGCGUGGGGAGCAAACA